Molecule: long non-coding RNA, 2260 nt
Filed under: Ananas comosus (pineapple)
Lineage: Eukaryota; Viridiplantae; Streptophyta; Magnoliopsida; Poales; Bromeliaceae
Description: long non-coding RNA (ACOM_LNC021527)
Source: RNAcentral
UUCUCUUUUUUUUCUUUGUUCUUUUUUUUAAAAUUUGUUUAUUCAUCUCUCUCUUUUUUUCUUUUUUUCUUUUUUCAAGUAUACAAAAUUAAUCACGUCGAGCCUAUCAUGAAGAUGACGAUGCUUAUCACGAAGAUAGCAACGAUCGAAUCGAACGAAGAUGGCGAAUCAGAACAGUUUUUGUCCAUUUUUUUAUUAUCAUUUUCAUUAUUAUUUUAUUUUUAUCACGUUUUGUUCAAGUAGGCGGAGUUUAAUCGUGUCGAGCCUAUCACGAAGAUGGCCGCUCGAUUAAUUCUUUCGACCAUGUCGAGCCUAUUGCGAAGAUGGCCGCACGGUUUAUCUAGUAAAAUAAACGGUGUUCGAUCAAACUUUUCGACCCUAUCGCGAAGAUGGCUGCACGGUUUACGUAGUAAAAUAUCCGAUGUUCAAUCAACAAUUUCGACCAUGUCGAGCCUAUCACGAAUAUGGCCGCACGGUUUAGAGAUUAGCGAUGCAUACGCACGGCAGAGUGACGAUUUGAUGUCAAAUUUGAUCGGUUCGAAACCUAUCACGAAGAUGGUCGGGUUGAUCAAACCGACAAAAAAUCGCACUUAUGCUAUUCGUAUAUAUGCAUUUCUCUUAUUGUCAUAAAAGUCGUCGUGAUCGUCGUUGUCGUUGGAUGCAAGAACCGAAGUCUUUUUUUUUUUUCCCUUUUUCUCUCGGGUUCUUCUUCUUCUUCUUUUUUUUCUCUCUUUUUUUUUUGCUCUCCAAUCUUCUUUCUUCUUUUUGCUAAAAAAAUUCUCUAGCCCUUUUUUCGAAAUUUGGAUCUUAUUUUAUAUAGGAUUCAAACAUGAUUCCCAUUUGAGAAUAAUUUAAAGAUCAACUUAUUGAGGAAAUAAGGCUCAAUCAACUAAUUAUACUUCUUUUGUUUUUUUUUUAAUACUUUCCCUCUUUUCUUUUCUCUCUCUCUCUUUCUUUUUUCUUUUUCUUUUUUUUUUGGAAGGAAAGAGGUGGACAUCCUUUCUUUCCUUUUUAUUCUUUUUUUUUCUUCUUUUUUUUUUACUCAAUUGGAAAGAGGGGGUGGGAUAUAUAUAUAUAUAUAUGUUUGAGUAAAAAAAAUAAUAAAAAAAAAGAAAAGAUGUAAAGAUUUAAUAUAUAUAUAUAUAUAUAUAUAUAUAUAUAUAGAGAGAGAGAGAGAGAGAGAGAGAGAGAGAGAGAGAGUCUAAAUACUAUACUAUUAUUAGCAUGAAAACCUCUGCAUUACUAAGUUGUUUUCGAUGAUGCGGCUCUGACUCGAUAAUUGGCUUUGGUAGACUUUAUCUACACCAUUAAAAGUAUUUGAAAUUAAAUUUUAUAAUUUUUCGUCAUUAUUUACCUAUGAAACGAAUAGUCUAAAGUUAACGAUUGAAAUUAAAAUUUCAUAAAAAUAAGAUAAAAGAUUUCAAUUCAAGAUCAAAGGUAUUGAUUUUACUCUAAAUAGUGAAAAGAAUUUUCUAUAAAAUUUUCAUCGGAUUUGAAUUAUUUUAAACCGUUCAAUUUACAAACGCAUCAAAUCGGCCAUUAAAAGUUUUAAUUUUGAAAUAUUUUGACUAUUAAUCAAAUAAUAUCGAAAAAUUAUAAAAUUUGGUUUCUAAAUAUUUCCAAUACCAUAGAUCUAAUGGCCGAAAAUUUAUGAGUAUAUAUACUAUUUACUGCAAGAUCAAUAUCUCUGGUCAGCAAUUUUAUUGUCAUAUCAUCAUUUUUUGUGAGAUUUUUAUUUUCAGUAAUUUAUUUUAAACCCUUUUGAUCGCUAGGUAAAUGAUAUUGAAAAAUUGUAAAAUUUAUUUUCUAAACACUUCAAAUACGUUCGAUCAAGUCUAAUGGAGCCGAUCCACUACAACAAAAACGGUAUAUAGCAACACUUUUAAAUGUCGGUACAGUUCAAAAAAAGUGCUGCUAACUAAAUUAUUGACACUUUUUAAAAGUGUUGCUUUAUGUGGGGUCGCUAUAGGCAGGGCCGCCUUGAUAUUUGGUACCUACUCCUCCAAUGACCUAUGGCGGAGGGAUACGUGGUAAUCAUAGCCCUCUACGGUCCCUGCGAGAUCCUCACUGCCGAACUCCAGUCGCCGAAACUUGGCUACGUCAGCGGAGAAGGAAAAUGGGAGAUGGUAAUCAAUUUUUCUUUUUUUUUUCUAUUUUUUAUUUGUGAUCGGACCGAGUGGGCUGGAUACGGUUGGUUAAGUAGAGGAACUUUUUGUUUUUGAUUUGAUUGGGCUUUAUAUUUAAGCCUUAAUAGAUUUUU